This 498-nucleotide ribosomal RNA is filed under the name uncultured Chloroflexota bacterium. RNAcentral describes it as "bacterial SSU rRNA". It matches the Rfam family "Bacterial small subunit ribosomal RNA", at positions 355 to 867 of the family's 1533-position model. Lineage: Bacteria; Bacillati; Chloroflexota. The record is from RNAcentral.
UAGGGAAUAUUGCAUAAUGGGCGAAAGCCUGAUGCAGCAACGCCGCGUGUGCGAUGAAGGCCUUCGGGUUGUAAAGCACUUUUGAUCGGGAAGAGGAAGGACGGUACCGGUCGAAUAAGCCUCGGCUAACUACGUGCCAGCAGCCGCGGUAAAACGUAGGAGGCGAGCGUUAUCCGGAUUUACUGGGUGUAAAGCGCGUGCAGGCGGUCUACUAAGUUGGAUGUGAAAGCUCCUGGCUCAACUAGGAGAGGUCGUUCAAGACUGGUAGACUGGAGAGCAGUAGAGGAAGGUGGAAUUCCGGGUGUAGUGGUGAAAUGCGUAGAUAUCCGGAGGAACACCAGUGGCGAAAGCGGCCUUCUGGACUGCAUCUGACGCUCAGACGCGAAAGCUAGGGGAGCAAACGGGAUUAGAGACCCCGGUAGUCCUAGCUGUAAACGAUGUGAACUUGGCGCUGGGUUGGGUAAAACCGAUCCGUGCCGGAGCAAACGCGAUAAGUUC